CCGAAGGCACCCUGUCCCGCCGCCCACAGCCUUCUCCGCGCCAUGUCCUGGGCCAGGAUCCCCCGCCACGGGGCUCACACGAAAGACCCCGGGGCGGGGAAGCCCCGCAGCCCGGAGCUGGGUCCAACCUGCAUUAAGGUCUGGUGUGGCAGAUGUGGAUAGCUGGACCCUCCUGGGUGCCUCUGCGUUAUGUCGUUUGGUUGAUGCAUUUGGAGAGAAUCUGUGCUCUCCACAACUGCAGGGGCAACAUGCUUUCCUGGCCUCUUCAGAUCAGGGUGGCUGUUCUUGGGUGCUGCACCAAAACUCCAGCAGUGGGCUUUCUUCAAGUGGCCGGCUCACCUCAUUCCUGCCAAGACCCAGGUCCGUGUUCUCACAGUGCUGCCAUCUUUCCUCCGUGUGAGCGUGGGCUGUGCGGAGAGUGGACCUCGGUGUGUGCGGGGCUGCGUGCACUGCCAUCGCUCCCUCUACACGAGCCGGCGUGGACCCAGGGCUGAGCUGUGACCACGAGGGCCAUCCCGACGAGCCGCCAUGGACCCAGGGCUGAGCUGUGACCAUGAGGGCUAUCCCGACGAGCUGCCGUGGACCCAGGGCUGAGCCGUGACCAUGAGGGCCAUCCCGAAACUGUGAUUGUUUUCUGAUGAAGAAACCAAGGCUUUGUGACUAACUCAACCCCUCAAGAAGGACAAAACUAGCAUCAGAGCCCCUUGCUCCUGGGUCUGGCAAGAAUGCCUCUUGUUUGCUGAGAGGUCCACAGAUUUACCCGGCUCAAGACUGGGAGAUGGGAGGUGACCAGGUCAGUGCCAGCCUCUCUCUGAGCUCCUCUGAGUCGUGGCAGCUGAGGUGCUCCUCCGAGAAUGUUCUGCCAUCCGUGAGGUCGUGUACGCCUGGAAGCUUUUGUUCCAUUGAACUCUGCCAGGGAGCUAUACUUAGCCACGCGAGUGGAGGCCAGGAGUGGGUUCUCUGAAUAUAGAUAGUAGCAAGCAGGCUAUUUUCAAACACCUAGAGAACCCCCAUGAUUAUUCUGGGCCAAAAUGAUAUUUAUAGGAUGCUCUGGGCCCUUGGACAUGAAGGCAAUAACCUUAGCGCCUUUUGGCGUUCGGGAUAAGUUUCUAUCAACGGGGAGUGGAGAGAGGGACCCGGUCACCCAGAGGCCCGCUGUCCCUCAACACCUGUUUCCAGGAGGCCAGGCGUCUUCUUUGCUUUUACACUAUGAGUCAGAGAACAGCGAGAGGCACGCAGGGCCCUACUAAUUUUCCUUCCUGCACACCCUGGUGUGGGUCCUGUCUGAGGCCUGCCGUGUGCUAUUAGGGAAGACGUCAUCAGGGGACUUUUUCUGCUGUGAGGAGGGUGCAGCCCCUGCCUUUCAGAGCUCAGGACACCCUCUUCCUCUUGUCCAGGAUCCUCAGGGAUUUCCUAGGCUUCCACCCUCACCCAGACAUCACUGGACCGUCACUGAAACACCCGCUUCCAGUGUGCUCAGGUCCUGCAGCCUCCUGUCCAUCCUUGCCCCGCCUCCCGCCCGGAGGAAAGACUCUGACACUGCCCCUGGAAGAGGGAGGAGAGUGGAUGUGAUGAGUGAAGAUUUGGGUGGGGAAAGGAAGGCCUGAGUCCUGGGAGGAAGAGCUCUCCCCGCCCCGAGCCCCCGGAGACUGUGAGCAAGGCUGAGACGCCUCCUUCCUGGUGCUCAAGCUGCAGGUGUUGGAUAGGCCUCCAGAAGCCCAGAUUUUAAAUGACCGCUCCAGGUUAACCUGGGGAUGGUCAGGCAGAACAAGGAGGAGAGGCCAGCAGUGAAGGGCAGGGCUGGUGGGCAGUGGCUGGGGGUGUCCUGGGUGGGGCUGGCCACCCUCGCUGCCUCUGACUUGGGCCAGACCUGCGUUAAGUGGAGUGGCUCCUCCAUUCUUUACACCCCAGGCCCCUGGCAGGUGCCCUGCCUUUCCUCUGCCCCUCUCUCUGCCAACCCAUCCUCUCCCUCCCAGCCCCUGCCCGCCCAGAUAUAAAUAUAAGAGCAUUUUCCAUGGGCUGAGACAGAAGGGAAAACAUUCAGCUUUAUUUUCGGCUUGUGAAAUUCCUGUCCUUCAUUCCCAACAGGUGCAAUCGCCUCAUUUAGAUAUUGGGACCCAGAAAUAGAAGACAAUUUACAAUAUAGCUUCCUUUAGGGAUCUGGAUGCUACCAAACAAACAAACAAACAAAAAAAGCCCUCCUGUGAGAUGCCGAGACUUAAUAGAAACCGUGGUUGGAGCUCUUGCCUUUUUCCAGGCCGGUGGAGACCCUCACCCCUGGCAGCCUGACCGUGAAGCAGAGGAGGCAAGAGCUCCGGGAGACAGUCGGGAGGGAGGGGGCCCUGGAGGACAGGCUCCUAGCCCUACUCCUCCUCAAGACCCGGGUGCUGGCCUGUCCCCUGCCUUUGCCCCGAUGGGGAUGAGGGAGAGGAGAUGGGUCAGGGAACAGCUAUGGCCAUUGGGGAAGGUGACUUGGAUGCAACCUUUGAAAGAGAUGCUUCCAGUAAACCCCAUCGGUUAAGAUCAGCUGUCCCCCAUGAUCCUUUGUGUGUGUUUUUUUGUUUUCACACAGGGUCUCGGUCUGUCGCCCAGGCUGAGUGCAGUGGUGUGAUCUUGGCUCACUGCAACCUCCACCUCCUGGGCACAAGCAAUCCUCCUGCCUCAGCCUCCUGGAUAGCUCAGACUACAGGGGUGUGCCACCAUACCCAGCUCAUUCUUUUGUAUUUUUAGUAGAGACAGAGUUUUGCCAUGUUGCCCAGGCUGGUCUCAAACUCCUGGGCUCAAGUGAUCCACCCGCCUUGGCCUCCCACAGGGCUGGGAUUACAGGAGUGAACUCCCAUGCCUGGCCCUCAUGAUCCUUUGUAGACUGAGGGACAAAAGAAGAGGGUGAGGCCUCCCCUCUCCUCAGCGCUGAGUGCAAGGACCCUCAAGGCAACUCUUGGCAAAGCCCCAUGUUUCCACUGGCUGUUUAGGUGGAAUUGCGUCCCCCCGCUUCCGUAUGUUGAAGUCCUAAUUUUCGGGCCCUCCGCUUGUGACCAUAUUUGGAAGUAGAGGCUUUGCAGAUGUCAUGAGUUAAGAUGGGGGCCUCCUGGAGCAGGGCAACAUGACUGUAUCCUCAUAAGAAGAGGAGAGACAGAAACAGACACACACAGGGAGAUGCCACGGGACUCCCAAAGCCACAAGAAAGCCUGGAACAGCCCCGCCCUCACAGCCUCUGAAGGAACCAGCCCUGCCUUCACCUGGAUCUGGGACUUCCAGCCUCCAGGACUGGGGGAGAAUGAAACUCUGUUGUUUCGGCCACUCAGGCUGGGGUGCUUUGUUAUGGCAGCUGAGUGGGUGCCUCCCUCUCUGGGGACGGCCAAUCCCUGUAGGGGAGGCAGUGGUCCCGGUCCAGGAAGGUGAGAGAGGCUUUCUCAGUGUCUUCACUUCGCCAGCUCACGUGGAGACUGGUAGCGGCUGGAGCCCAAGCUCUUCUGGGGAGCCGGUUUACUCAAGGUCACCCUUGAUCCAGCGGAGCCCAAGGUCUAGGUCAAGCUUCCUCUGGGAUGUCCCCAAGGCUCUUCAAACAGGUGUCGUCAAGCCAUCUGCCCAAGGGCCCGUCAGCACCUGGCAGGUGUUAGCCAGGCUGAUCUGCAGGCGGGGCUGCCCCGAGUGGGGCUCCCACUGCCCGGGUUGGGACUGGAGCAGCCAAGUGGCUGAGCAACAAGGUGCUUCAUGUGUGGUCCCUGUGAGCCCCCCUGAAUAGUCUCAUGGACAGACGGAUGGACGGGAGGCUCAGUGGGCUCUGGGAGCAAGGGGAGCGCUUGCCGCUCUCCACGUGGCUCCAUUCCAGGACCAGGACAAUGAUGUCUUCCUGUCUGCAGCCAGAAGCAGGGCAGCUGACAGCGGCCCAGCCCUCCUGAGGGACAGGUGUCCGCUCCCAGAAACCUCCCUUCCACCAUCCCCAUCAGCGAAGGUGUCAGGGACUAGGAGGGGCCUCCUUGCUCCUUCCUGGACGCUGCCCCUGGGGUUGAGCUGGAGAGGCUGAGACAUGCUGGGAAGAGGAGGACCAGCCCAGUGGGCGGCCGCCCAACAGCUCGGCGGUGAGAAGAGGCCACGUGUAAGAAGGAAACGCCACCACCCCACUGGAUGGUGGGAGCAGGACUCCAGGGAGGGGGGUCUUGAGUGUAGGCAACCAUGUCGAUUUGGCACAGUGUCUCAACAGGGCAGGGCAAGGGUCUGGGAUUCCAGUUCACGGAUGCCCCAGGUACCAUGGGUGGACAGAGGCCCAGACCCUCUGCAAGACAGCAGUGAUCAUGUCAGACCCUCGCAGCGCUUGAGGGCUGCAGCAGGAGCCCUGAGUCCUCUGUUCUGACCAGGCAGCAGGGAGGACUCGCUGCCCCCAGCUGCACAACGCCUGCCCCGGCCUUGGUCUUGGCCCUCUACCCGGCACCAGCUGGAGCCUCUUGGCCAUUCCUCUGUGCCAUGGGACACUCUCCCACUCCUGCGCUGGCUUCUGCCCACAGUGGCGCCCCUGCUCACCCACUGGCAGUGUCCCCACCUCUCAGAAGAGUUUUUCACAGUGGCAGGCCCUGACCCAGAGUCUCCUGCCUACUUGGUGGCUAAAGGCCCCAGGCGAUCCCCAAAUCCUGCUGUCUCAGGGAGUUUCUCAGAGUCCCACCUCCUCCACAGAACCAGGGGAUUGGCCAAGACUCAAAGCUUCGAAGAACGGAACA
Molecule: long non-coding RNA, 4715 nt
Filed under: Homo sapiens (human)
Lineage: Eukaryota; Metazoa; Chordata; Mammalia; Primates; Hominidae
Description: non-protein coding SNAI3-AS1:9
Source: RNAcentral